AACGAACGCUGGCGGCAUGCCUAACACAUGCAAGUCGAACGAGACCUUCGGGUCUAGUGGCGCACGGGUGCGUAACGCGUGGGAACCUGCCCUUAGGUUCGGAAUAACUCCCCGAAAGGGGUGCUAAUACCGGAUAAUGUCUUCGGACCAAAGAUUUAUCGCCUUUGGAUGGGCCCGCGUUGGAUUAGCUAGUUGGUAGGGUAAAAGCCUACCAAGGCGACGAUCCAUAGCUGGUCUGAGAGGAUGAUCAGCCACACUGGGACUGAGACACGGCCCAGACUCCUACGGGAGGCAGCAGUGGGGAAUAGUGGACAAUGGGGGAAGGCCUGAUCCAGCAAUGCCGGGUGAGUGAUGAAGGCCUUAGGGUUGUAAAGCUCUUUUACCCGGGAUGAUAAUGACAGUACCGGGAGAAUAAGCUCCGGCUAACUCCGUG
RNAcentral lists this ribosomal RNA (433 nucleotides) under uncultured bacterium. Its description in RNAcentral is "partial 16S ribosomal RNA". It matches the Rfam family "Bacterial small subunit ribosomal RNA", at positions 29 to 507 of the family's 1533-position model. The record is from RNAcentral.